CACAUGAUCAACUUGCCCUAUGGAGAAAAAUACCCUCGGGAAACUGAGGAUAAUGUUUCAUAGUUGAAUAGGCUUGGAAUAGUUUUUCACUGAAAGGGAAAAGAAAAAUGGUUCUUUUUUGCCAUAGGAUAGGAUCGUGGUCGAUUAUGGUUGUUGGUGAGGUAAUGGCUCACCAAGCCGAUAAUCGAUAGGGGCCGUGAGAGCGGGAGCCCCGAUAUGGGUACUGAGACGCCGACCCAGACCUUACGAGGUGCAGCAGGCGCGAGACCUCCGCAAUACACGAAAGUGUGACGGGGUUACCCAAAGUGUUCAUUAUUGAACUGUGGUAGGUGAGUAAUGUUCCCUACUACAAAGGAGAGGGCAAGGCUGGUGCCAGCCGCCGCGGUAAAACCAGCUCUUCAAGUGGUCGGGAUGAUUAUUGGGCUUAAAGUGUCCGUACCCGGUUUAGAAAGUUCCUGGUAAAAUCAGGUAGCUUAACUAUCUGUAUGCUAGGAAUACUACUAUA
This 505-nucleotide ribosomal RNA is filed under the name uncultured archaeon. Its description in RNAcentral is "bacterial SSU rRNA". It matches the Rfam family "Archaeal small subunit ribosomal RNA", at positions 97 to 591 of the family's 1478-position model. The record is from RNAcentral.